CCUACGGGAGGCAGCAGUGGGGAAUAUUGGACAAUGGGGGGAACCCUGAUCCAGCCAUGCCGCGUGUGUGAAGAAGGCCCUCGGGUUGUAAAGCACUUUCAGUGAGGAAGAACGCCUGGUGGUUAAUACCCAUCAGGAAAGACAUCACUCACAGAAGAAGCACCGGCUAACUCCGUGCCAGCAGCCGCGGUAAUACGGAGGGUGCGAGCGUUAAUCGGAAUUACUGGGCGUAAAGCGCGCGUAGGUGGCUUGAUAAGCCGGUUGUGAAAGCCCCGGGCUCAACCUGGGAACAGCAUCCGGAACUGUCAAGCUAGAGUGCAGGAGAGGAAGGUAGAAUUCCCGGUGGAGCGGUGAAAUGCGUAGAGAUCGGGAGGAAUACCAGUGGCGAAGGCGGCCUUCUGGACCGACACUGACACUGAGGUGCGAAAGCGUGGGUAGCAAACAGGAUUAGAUACCCCAGUAGUC
This 465-nucleotide ribosomal RNA is filed under the name Vreelandella stevensii. Its description in RNAcentral is "partial 16S ribosomal RNA". It matches the Rfam family "Bacterial small subunit ribosomal RNA", at positions 338 to 795 of the family's 1533-position model. Lineage: Bacteria; Pseudomonadati; Pseudomonadota; Gammaproteobacteria; Oceanospirillales; Halomonadaceae. The record is from RNAcentral.